This is a long non-coding RNA of Saccostrea cuccullata (small rock oyster), 331 nucleotides long. RefSeq lists it as uncharacterized. NCBI's taxonomy places the organism in Eukaryota, Metazoa, Mollusca, Bivalvia, Ostreida, Ostreidae. The transcript is spliced from 3 exons. The record is from RefSeq and is a predicted model, not a curated record.
AUAUGUCGACUAAGAAACACGUAAUGUCAACAAGAUUGUCUGAUUGACAAGAGAAAAGGUCAAACAGGAACUUCAAUUGUGAACAUUGCUGAGAACACACUCAUCAGAAGAUGACCCUCAGAAAUAGGAUAAUUAGGUUCCUUUUGCCGGAAAACGAAUCUGACAUGCCACCUCGAGAUUUUAACCAAGGAAAGACAAGUUGAUGUGCUUUGAUUUGAGGGGUCACUCACUUCUGAACGAAAAUUAGGGACAUCACUAUGAGAAGAAACGUUAACAUUGUCGCCUAUGGGAAAACAAUUAGUGGACUGUACCCAUAUUAGGAAGCCUAUAU